UCUUUGGGCCCAAUAAAAUACCAACGAAUUACUUUCGAAAAAUAUUUUAACAGUCGUCUCUUUCCUGUGAAGAAAGAGUGAGAGUAAGGCGCGAACGGAGUGAGAGAGAGCCACAAGAAUGGCGAAAUUGUGGGGCGUGCGAAGACUGCCACUUCCACAAACCAAACGACACGAACAACGCAAUCCCAAACCAACGAGGAACAAAAAGAAGAAAAGCAAAGAAAGGGUAUCUGCGUUUCUGGGUUUCUCGUUGAGAAUCGAUUGGAAUGGCCAAGCCAGUGACCUUUGUUGUUGGUUCUCAUGUUUGGGUUGAAAAACCAGAAUCAGUUUGGAUUGACGGUGAAGUACUAAAUAUUAAGGGUGAUGACGCUGAGAUUCAAACUAGUGAUGGGAAUAAGUCGACCUACUUUCAUUUUGUCCAGGUUGUUGCAAAGCUGUCAAAAAUAUACCCAAAAGAUACAGAAACUCCUCCUGAUGGAGUUGAUGACAUGACUAAGCUAGCAUACUUGCAUGAACCUGGAGUGCUUCACAAUUUGGCAACUAGAUAUGAGAUAAAUGAAAUUUAUACUUACACUGGAAACAUUCUCAUCGCCAUCAAUCCAUUCCAAAGCCUCUCACAUCUGUAUGAUGCUCAUAUGAUGGAACGGUAUAAUGGAGUGCCAUUUGGAGAACUGAGCCCUCAUGUUUUUGCAAUAGCAGAUGCUGCAUACAGGGAAAUGAUUACUGAGGGAAAAGGCAACUCGAUUCUGGUUAGUGGGGAAAGCGGAGCUGGUAAGACUGAAACAACUAAAAUGCUUAUGCGCUACCUUGCCUAUUUGGGUGGUAAUGCUGCAGCUGAAGGGCGGAGUGUUGAACAGAAAGUUUUAGAAUCAAAUCCAGUUCUUGAAGCAUUUGGCAAUGCUAAGACUGUUAGAAAUAACAAUUCCAGCCGCUUUGGGAAAUUUGUCGAGAUUCAAUUUGAUAAACGUGGUAGAAUAUCAGGGGCAGCCAUUAGAACAUAUCUCUUAGAGAGAUCUCGUGUUUGCCAGAUUUCGGAUUCCGAGCGUAACUAUCACUGUUUUUAUCUCCUUUGUGCUGCUCCACCUCAGGAAACAGAGAAAUAUAAGUUGGGAGAACCUAAAUUAUAUCACUAUCUGAAUCAAUCAAAUUGCUAUGAACUUGAUGGAAUAAGUGAUCAACAUGAUUAUCUUGCCACUCGGAGAGGCAUGGAUGUUGUUGGAAUAAAUGCAGUAGAACAGGAGGCUAUUUUCAGAGUUGUAGCUGCAAUUCUUCACCUUGGUAAUAUAGAUUUUGCCAAUGGGGAAGAUAAUGACUCAUCUGUUCUGAAAAAUGAUGAAUCCCUUUUUCAUCUUCAAAUGACAGCAGAACUUCUCAUGUGUAAUCCUCGGGCAUUGGAAGAUGCACUGUGUAAGCGUGUAAUGGUUACUCCAGAAGAAAUUAUUAAAAGAAGUCUUGAUCCCCUUGGCGCAACAGUUAGCAGGGAUGGAUUGGCCAAAACUAUAUAUUCUCGUUUGUUUGACUGGUUGGUGGAUAAGAUCAAUUUCUCAAUUGGACAAGACCCUAGCUCAAAAUGUCUGAUUGGGGUUCUUGAUAUAUAUGGUUUUGAAAGCUUCAAAACUAACAGUUUUGAGCAGUUCUGUAUUAAUUACACUAAUGAAAAGCUGCAACAACAUUUCAACAAGCAUGUAUUCAAGACGGAACAAGAGGAAUACACUAAAGAAGAAAUAGAUUGGAGCUACAUAGAAUUUGUUGAUAAUAAAGAUGUCCUGGAUCUCAUUGAACAGAAGAAAGGUGGGAUUAUUGCUCUACUUGAUGAAGCUUGUAUGUUUCCAAAAUCAACUCAUGAAACAUUUUCAACGAAGCUGUAUCAGACAUUCAAAGAUCACAAACGCUUCAUGAAGCCAAAACUGACCCGCUCAGAUUUCACCAUUGUUCAUUAUGCAGGAGAAGUACAAUAUCAGUCUGAUCAAUUCCUAGACAAAAAUAAAGACUAUAUUGUUCCUGAACAUCGAGAUUUGUUGAGUGCUUCAACAUGUUCUUUUGUAGCAGGCCUUUUCCCUCCACUUACAGAGGAGGCAACCAAAUCUUCCAAGUUCUCAUCCAUCAGUUCUCGUUUUAAGCUACAACUCCAACAAUUGAUGGAAAUACUAAAUUUUACAGAACCCCAUUACAUAAGAUGUAUAAAGCCGAAUAGUGUCUUAAAGCCUGCUAUAUUCGAGAAUGUUAAUGUCUUGCAACAGCUACGUUCUGGUGGUGUUUUAGAGGCUGUGCGAAUAAAAUGUGCUGGAUACCCUACUUACAGGAGUUUUUCUGAAUUUUUAACUCGAUUUCGUGUCCUGGCCCCGGAAGUUUUAAAAAUGGAUUGUCCUGAAAAUGAAGCCAGCGAAAAGAUUCUGGUGAAGAUGGGGCUUAAAGAUUAUCAGAUAGGGAAAACAAAGGUUUUCCUAAGAGCUGGUCAGAUGGCUGAGCUAGAUGCAAAGAGAAUACUCUUACUCGGUGACUCAGCUAAGGUGAUUCAAACCCGGGGCAGAACUCGUAUUACUCGUAAGAAGUAUGUUUCUACACUGGAGGCUUCUAUUUGCGUACAAUCAUUUUGUAAAGGAGAACUGGCUCGCAAGUUAUUGAAGCUCAAGAAGCGGGAGAUUUCUGCAGUUAAAAUUCAGAAGACUGCCCGUAAACGCCUGGCGAGAAAAGAUUAUCUCAGAAUAAAGUUCUCUUCGACUAUCUUACAGGCAGGCGUGCGGGCAAUGGCUGCCCGUGAUGAAUUUAGAUAUAGGGUUAAUGCGGCAAUUAUUAUUCAGACAGGUUUACGGGCAAUGGUUGCUCGUGAAGAUUUUAGAUGUAAAGUUAAUGCGGCAGUUAUUCAGACUGACUUGGAAGCAAAAGGAGAAGAAACAACGAAGUUGGAGUCCUCUGUGCAAGCUAGUACUGACUUGGAAAAAGAAAAGGUUAAAGAGGCAACAAAUGCGGAGUCCCCCCUGCUUACUAAUGUAAGCGGAGGUGUUGAAAUAGAUGUGUUGUCUAAAUGUCAGGUUGCACAGGUAGAAACUGAAGACGCAUGCUCUAUGACCCAAGAUCUUUCAAGUCCUGAUCAAAAUGCUGAAAGAGUUAAAACUCUUACUGCAGAGGUUGAAAGUCUGAAGGGCAUGUUACAAGCAGAAAAACAAAGAGCCAAUGAGUGUGAAAGGAGGUUUGUGGAAGCUCGGGUAUCAAGUGAGGAAGGACGUAAAAAAUUAGAGGAAACUGAAAGAAUAGUUCAUCAACUUCAGGAAUCUUUGAACAGUGUGUGUCAGGAUGAUAUAUUGCAUGUCAAACCAAGUUUCGGAGCUGAAAACAAUCUUAUCUACCGCGUCCAAGUCAAGUUCAACAACUUCAGGACCUUUUGUUAGACAUGAAGGGUUUGAUAGCAUUUCCAGUAACUCUGAAUGUUCAUCCGCCGACUCAGAUUUCACUUUUCCAGCUCCAGCUACAAGUUCAGCUAACCUUUCCUCUCUCGGCCCCAACUCUAUCCAGCUUAUAGUUCAGGACGUUUCAGGCAUAGAAGUUUCAGGAUCUGAAAGUGAGAAGGAGGGGGCUUUUGAUGACUUCUUCUGACGGAGCUUGUUCUAAUUAUUUUUCUUCUUUCUUGCUUAGAUUUGGGUCUCUCGUUAAACGUCAAACUUCUGGCACUGUAAAUAGAUCGCCAGACUUGAACAUAUACGCCCCAUAUGCUUCAUACAGGAUCAUAGACCGACAAGUUUCUCUCAGGAUUAUAUCGAUCAAUUAGUCAGGUAGCAUGUAGCAAAGGAUCAAGUGUAGUAAACUUUAGAGUAGUACGUAGUCGGAGCUCAUUCACCAACUCCUUUGUGAUUUCAUUUCGCCCUGAUAACUGGCCACGACGCUAACGUGUGCAUAAGAAUCCUCCUCGAGUUUUACUGUUAACAUUUCACUGUAAUUGAUUGUAUCAGAUAGCUUCAAUGUGUUAAUUUAUCUCAACUCAAUAGAUAUGUUGUAGUACUUCUGUUUACAAACAACUGCUUAUGUGGAAAACAUUUGUGUUGAUUCAGAUCAAGCCAAAUUUCUCUUUUU
RNA transcript from Malus domestica (apple), 4068 nucleotides. It is a transcript of the gene named myosin-16-like, with no coding region annotated. The record is from RefSeq and is a predicted model, not a curated record. NCBI's taxonomy places the organism in Eukaryota, Viridiplantae, Streptophyta, Magnoliopsida, Rosales, Rosaceae.